CCUCCUUUGUUCCGCCGUUUUUACUAUUUCCCCCUUUUUUCCCCCCUGCUGCCGCGCUGCCGCGUGGAGGAAGAAGGUUUUCGGAUUGUAAACUCCUUUUAUCAGGGACGAUAAUGACGGUACCUGAAGAAAAAGCUCCGGCUAACUACGUGCCAGCAGCCGCGGUAAUACGUAGGGAGCGAGCGUUGUCCGGAAUUACUGGGUGUAAAGGGAGCGUAGGCGGGACGGCAAGUCAGAUGUGAAAACUGAGGGCUCAACCUUCAGACUGCAUUUGAAACUGCUGUUCUUGAGUGAAGUAGAGGUAAGCGGAAUUCCUAGUGUAGCGGUGAAAUGCGUAGAUAUUAGGAGGAACAUCGGUGGCGAAGGCGGCUUACUGGGCUUUUACUGACGCUGAGGCUCGAAAGCGUGGGGAGCAAACAGGAUUAGAUACCCGGGUAGUC
RNAcentral lists this ribosomal RNA (440 nucleotides) under uncultured bacterium. RNAcentral's name for it is "partial 16S ribosomal RNA". It matches the Rfam family "Bacterial small subunit ribosomal RNA", at positions 313 to 795 of the family's 1533-position model. The record is from RNAcentral.